Molecule: ribosomal RNA, 241 nt
Filed under: uncultured bacterium
Lineage: Bacteria
Description: partial 16S ribosomal RNA
Rfam family: Bacterial small subunit ribosomal RNA
Source: RNAcentral
UACGUAGGUGACCAGCGUUGUCCGGAUUUACUGGGCGUAAAGAGCGCGCAGGCGGUCGUUCAAGUCGAGUGUGAAAGCCCCCGGCUCAACUGGGGAGGGUCACUCGAUACUGAUCGACUGGAAGGCAGGAGAGGGAAGCGGAAUUCCCGGUGUAGUGGUGAAAUGCGUAGAUAUCGGGAGGAACACCAGUGGCGAAGGCGGCUUCCUGGCCUGUUCUUGACGCUGAGGCGCGAAAGCUAGG